UACAGAGGUGGCAAGCGUUAAUCGGAAUUACUGGGCGUAAAGUGUGCGCAGGCGGCGCCGCAAGUCGAGUGUGAAAGCCCCGAGCUUAACUUGGGAAUUGCGCUCGAAACUAUGGUGCUGGAGUGUGGCAGAGGAAGGUGGAAUUCCACGUGUAGCGGUGAAAUGCGUAGAGAUGUGGAGGAACACCGAUGGCGAAGGCAGCCUUCUGGGCCAACACUGACGCUCAUGCACGAAAGCGUGGGGAGCAAACAGG
RNAcentral lists this ribosomal RNA (253 nucleotides) under uncultured bacterium. RNAcentral describes it as "partial 16S ribosomal RNA". It matches the Rfam family "Bacterial small subunit ribosomal RNA", at positions 524 to 776 of the family's 1533-position model. The record is from RNAcentral.